Drosophila santomea is the source of this 1097-nucleotide long non-coding RNA. RefSeq lists it as uncharacterized. The record is from RefSeq and is a predicted model, not a curated record. Lineage: Eukaryota; Metazoa; Arthropoda; Insecta; Diptera; Drosophilidae. The transcript is spliced from 4 exons.
UAGGUCAUAAAUAACAUACUGAAAAAACUUCUUAAGCUUAUAUUCGUAAAGUUUCCUGCGACUGAAGCAGAAUCUUUCUGGGAGAUCUUAUAGCAUGGGACCCCACUGUAAACAGUGCGUGUCCAAAGGAGGUGCGUCAAAUGGAUUUUCUGCUGCUGAUAAACCGAAAUACAGUUGCUUUUCAGACGGACUUUCUGCACCAGAGCCCGAAACUAAGGCCACGUAGUGCUUGGAUCGGCGAGAUGAGUGCCUGAGUGCUCGACUCUCUGCUUUUCGGUGGUGAUAAGUGGACGCGGCCAAUGGGCCACGCAGGCAGAUUCCGGAGCUGAGUGAUAACUAUCGGCCGUUCUGGCUGAUAAGCUCCACCAUAAUAUUGCGUCGGAUUUCGAUUGGGUGAAAGGUUGGGAACUGGCGAAUGAGAAAGAGAGAUCUCAACCGAGGAGCAGCAGAGACAGAGACCAUGCACUUGUUCGACCAAAGCUGUUUUCUAAAUCAAUGCCCAACGAGUUUUCGUAGCCUACAUUUUCCUCUUCACCGAAAGAACAACAAAGAUAUGGCUGCCUCUUUAUUGAGUGUAUCUUUGUAUGUAUGGACAGAGGCGGUGGCAGGAUUUAUAAAAAGGGAUAAUUGCAGUUGUUGUAGGAGUCAUAAGCCUAGAAAAAAAACCCCCUGUCGACGCCCCUGUGGUCGCUCAUGAAAAAUGUGUCAAACGAAGAGAAAUGAAGAGCGCAAGAGCGACAGGGAUAGGAACAGUGAGAGGAGAGAGCGACAGCUUGGCGAAGUAACUUAACGGAGCAGGGAGCAGCUCCAAAUAAAACCGGAUGAUAGCCGGCAACUACAACAAAACGAUCGAGUGCCAAUGGCGUAUAUGCAUGUGACUGUGCUUGUGUGCCUGCACAUUUCUGUGUCGCUCUUUUGCUUCUUCGGGAAUGCGGUUGUGUGUGUGUUGCCACCUUUCGAGAAGGCACAGGUUCGUAUGUGACGCCUGCAGCGACGCUGACGUCGACAAAUGAAGACAAAGCACAAAAACAAUGCGCUAAAGUUCAGCUUUAAACCAAAAAAAAAAAAAAACAACAAAAUAUACAAAAUUGGUAUGC